GAUGAACGCUAGCUACAGGCUUAACACAUGCAAGUCGAGGGGAAACGGCAUUGAGUGCUUGCACUCUUUGGACGUCGACCGGCGCACGGGUGAGUAACGCGUAUCCAACCUUCCCAUUACUGUGGGAUAACCUGCCGAAAGGCAGACUAAUACCGCAUAGUCUUCGAUGACGGCAUCAGAUUUGAAGUAAAGAUUUAUCGGUAAUGGAUGGGGAUGCGUCUGAUUAGCUUGUUGGCGGGGUAACGGCCCACCAAGGCUACGAUCAGUAGGGGUUCUGAGAGGAAGGUCCCCCACAUUGGAACUGAGACACGGUCCAAACUCCUACGGGAGGCAGCAGUGAGGAAUAUUGGUCAAUGGACGGAAGUCUGAACCAGCCAAGUAGCGUGCAGGAUGACGGCCCUAUGGGUUGUAAACUGCUUUUGUAUGGGGAUAAAGUUAGGGACGUGUCCCUAUUUGCAGGUACCAUACGAAUAAGGACCGGCUAAUUCCGUGCCAGCAGCCGCGGUAAUACGGAAGGUCCAGGCGUUAUCCGGAUUUAUUGGGUUUAAAGGGAGCGUAGGCUGGAGAUUAAGUGUGUUGUGAAAUGUAGACGCUCAACGUCUGAAUUGCAGCGCAUACUGGUUUCCUUGAGUACGCACAACGUUGGCGGAAUUCGUCGUGUAGCGGUGAAAUGCUUAGAUAUAUGGAGGAACACCGGUGGCGAAAGCGGCUCUCUGGUCUGUAACUGACGCUGAGGCUCGAAAGCGUGGGGAGCGAACAGG
This 761-nucleotide ribosomal RNA is filed under the name Prevotella melaninogenica. RNAcentral's name for it is "bacterial SSU rRNA". It matches the Rfam family "Bacterial small subunit ribosomal RNA", at positions 28 to 776 of the family's 1533-position model. The record is from RNAcentral. Lineage: Bacteria; Pseudomonadati; Bacteroidota; Bacteroidia; Bacteroidales; Prevotellaceae.